GGAUGGGUGCCCGAGUGGUUGAAGGGGCACGCCUGGAGAGCGUGUAGCCGGGCCUAAACCUGGCUCGUGGGUUCAAAUCCCACCCCAUCCGCCA
This 94-nucleotide transfer RNA is filed under the name Caldinitratiruptor microaerophilus. RNAcentral describes it as "tRNA-Ser". It matches the Rfam family "tRNA". From Rfam's summary of the family: Transfer RNA (tRNA) molecules are approximately 80 nucleotides in length. Their secondary structure includes four short double-helical elements and three loops (D, anti-codon, and T loops). Lineage: Bacteria; Bacillati; Bacillota; Clostridia; Eubacteriales; Symbiobacteriaceae. The record is from RNAcentral.